UACGACUACAUAUCAGGCAUAUCAAUAAGCGGAGGAAAAGAAACUAACAAGGAUUCCCUUAGUAACGGCGAGUGAAGCGGGAAGAGCUCAAAUUUGAAAUCUUCAAGGUUUUACCUUGACGAAUUGUAGUUUAAAGAAGUGUUUUCUGUUGAAGUUUUGGUAAAAGUUCUUUGGAAUAGGACAUCAUAGAGGGUGAGAAUCCCGUAUUUGACCGUUACUUUCCAGCUGUGUGAUACACUUUCAAAGAGUCGGAUUGUUUGGGAAUGCAGUCCAAGAUGGGUGGUAAAUUUCAUCUAAAGCUAAAUAUUGGCGAGAGACCGAUAGCGAACAAGUACCGUGAGGGAAAGAUGAAAAGAACUUUGAAAAGAGAGUUAAACAGUACGUGAAAUUGUCAAAAGGGAAGCGUUUGACACCAGUGUUGUUUAGUUGAAAAUCAAUUCAAUAGUUUUUGAUUCUAAGUAGUAUUGACUUCAUCAGCUUGCUGCUUUCUUCUCAGAAAUUAUUGAAUGCACUUUUCAGUUAACAAGUCAACAUCAAUUUCUUUUGUUGUAAAAGGGUAAGAGGAAGGUGGCUUGCGCUUCGGCUCAAGUGUUUAUAGCCUUUUAUCUCUGCAAUCGGAGAGAUUGAGGUCUGCAGCGUAGAUCCUUCGGGGUUAGAUACAUUGGUGCUAAGCUAUAGCCUUGUAUAGACAACUUGUUGACUAUGCUCAGUCAUGUAGCUUACUCGCUGAUGCUAUUUUACCUACGCUUAGGAUGUUGAGCGCAUGUCUCUCUCU
RNAcentral lists this ribosomal RNA (775 nucleotides) under uncultured Neocallimastigales. RNAcentral describes it as "partial large subunit ribosomal RNA". It matches the Rfam family "Eukaryotic large subunit ribosomal RNA", at positions 24 to 616 of the family's 3401-position model. Lineage: Eukaryota; Fungi; Neocallimastigomycota; Neocallimastigomycetes; Neocallimastigales. The record is from RNAcentral.